CCUACGGGGGGCUGCAGUAACGAAUCUUCCGCAAUGCACGAAAGUGUGACGGAGCGACGCCGCGUGUGGGACGAAGCCCUUCGGGGUGUAAACCACUGUCAGGGGAUAGAAAGUUCUGAUCAUCCCCAGAGGAAGGCACGGCUAACUCUGUGCCAGCAGCCGCGGUAAGACAGAGGUGCCAAGCGUUAGGCGGAAUCACUGGGCUUAAAGCGUGUGUAGGCGGAGGCGUAAGUACCUUGUGAAAUCCCACGGCUCAACCGUGGAACUGCUUGGUAUACUGCGUCUCUUGAGCCAACUAGGGGCUAUCGGAACAAGUGGUGGAGCGGUGAAAUGCGUAGAUAUCACUUGGAACGCCAAUGGUGAAAACAGAUAGCUGGGGUUGUGCUGACGCUGAGACACGAAAGCCAGGGGAGCAAACGGGAUUAGAUACCCUUGUAGUC
This 440-nucleotide ribosomal RNA is filed under the name uncultured bacterium. Its description in RNAcentral is "bacterial SSU rRNA". It matches the Rfam family "Bacterial small subunit ribosomal RNA", at positions 338 to 795 of the family's 1533-position model. The record is from RNAcentral.